GCCAGAAACAUAAUUGUUAUUUAUUGGCUAAUUGAUAGGGAACACGGUUUAAUGCCGUGACUGUACCCGCAACUGUAUGUAGCUUUACUUUAAAAGUUAAAAGUUAUAAGUCAGGACACCUAGUAUCAAAAUUUUUUACAA
Molecule: non-coding RNA, 141 nt
Filed under: Colwellia sp.
Lineage: Bacteria; Pseudomonadati; Pseudomonadota; Gammaproteobacteria; Alteromonadales; Colwelliaceae
Source: RNAcentral